AUAAAUAAAAAGAGGAAGAGAAUUACAUACUGAAAACUUUGCUUUUAUUAUUGCUGCCACCACCAUCGCUACUUUGGACGUGUGGAAAGUAAGGUGGAGGGGCAGAAUACCAGAGUGGCAAGCAUCUAUUAUUCCUACAGCAUUAUUAAAUACUGAUUGUGCGAACCUGCCCACCAAUACACAGUUUUGCUAUUACAUAUAUACUGUUAACCUUACCUGCACUGGGGACAGACGGGAAAUGAGAGAGUGUUCCUCGUGUUUGGUGAUGAGGGACUAGACAGAGCAAUGGUGUACUUGUAACACGUGGUGUUUGAUGGUGGUCACUAUACAAAUUAUUUCUGUAUAUUGCUCGUUUCAUAUUUGUUUGUUUCAUAGUAUUUGCUCGUUUCAUAUGAUAACUACCUGGGAAUAAUGAGUGUUAAUGAGUGUUUCAUUCGUGUAUGAAUCCCUCGAGCGGUAAACCGAGGGAAGGUGGCUCAGGGAGGGAGGUCAAGCCGGUAGUCUGUCUGUGGUAUAGCAGCCGCACACACCUUGUUGGAUUGAAGCCUGUGGAUUUAUUCCCUGUGAGCGCCAGCGACUGUUGGACCGUUCACCCUCACGUUCACCCUCACGUUCACCCUGUCGUUCACCCUCACGUUCACCAUAUGGGACAAGUAAACACACACAAGAAUGAACGAGUGUCAAUAACGAGGCGUAAUAAUAUACCAAGAAGAAAUACCCUUGUGUGACGCCCCUGAGUGGGUGUUACAGUACUCAUAACCUUACCUGCAGCUUAGACAGGUGGGAACAAAACCAAGUAUUCCUAUAUUACAUUGUUUUGUCAUAAGCAACAAGACAGAACAGUGGCGGAGGGACAGUAAACUUGUAUUCAGUUAAAUGUGCAGUCAUGGUGAAUAGUUGAGUAACAUACCGCUCCGUGCUUACUGUUUUUAGUGUUAUUCAUCUAUCUUUAAGUCCUUUAAUGUGCUGACUAAUUAGGAUAAAGAGACUCGUGAGGAGGGAAGUUGUUGUGUGAACAGGACGUAAAUGCUGCGUUGUCUGUGAUGUAUAAAAAUAAGAGUGGGAAGGGGAAGAUUUUACUUACGUUUGUUUCGUUUUAGCAUGAGCGGAAGGUUCCAGCCAGUGUCGUUAGUGCAAUAAAAAUUUUAACAUAGGGAAAAGUGCUACAGAAGCUUAACGUAGAAAUAUUCUGACAUCAAAGAAAAAAGUUGAACACAAAGAUAAUCUCUUUGUCUGAGCAUGAGUGUUUGUAAUCAGAAUAAAAAUGGUUCUGAAAAAAAAAAUAAAAAUGUAUGUAAAAUGUA
This is a long non-coding RNA of Scylla paramamosain (green mud crab), 1304 nucleotides long. RefSeq lists it as uncharacterized. The record is from RefSeq and is a predicted model, not a curated record. Lineage: Eukaryota; Metazoa; Arthropoda; Malacostraca; Decapoda; Portunidae. The transcript has 2 exons.